UAUCUCUGUAGAGUCUGCAUAUCAAUAAGCGGAGGAAAAGAAACUAACAAGGAUUCCCUUAGUAACGGCGAGUGAAGCGGGAAGAGCUCAAAUUUGAAUCUUCAAGGUUUUACCUUGACGAAUUGUAGUUUAAAGAAGUGUCUUCUGUUGAAGUUUCGGUAAAAGUUCUUUGGAAUAGGACAUCAUAGAGGGUGAGAAUCCCGUAUUUGACCGUUAUUUUCAGCUGUGUGAUACACUUUCAAAGAGUCGGAUUGUUUGGGAAUGCAGUCCAAAAUGGGUGGUAAAUUUCAUCUAAAGCUAAAUAUUGGCGAGAGACCGAUAGCGAACAAGUACCGUGAGGGAAAGAUGAAAAGAACUUUGAAAAGAGAGUUAAACAGUACGUGAAAUUGUCAAAAGGGAAGCGUUUGACACCAGUGUUGUUUUCUCGAAAAUCAAUUAAAAAUGGCUUGAUUUUGUGUUGUAUUGACCUUAAAAGCUUUCUUCACUUUUUUCAUGUCUUUUUUAAUGCACUUUUCGUUUAACAAGUCAACAUCAGUUUCUUUUGUUGUAAAAAGGUCAUUGGAAGGUGGCUUUCUUUUCGGAGAAAGUGUUUAUAGCCUUUGACUCCUGCAAUCGGAGAGACUGAGGUCUGCAGCGUAGAUCCUUCUGGAUUAGAUUCAUUUGUGCUAAGUUACAACCGUUUAUAGACAACUUGUUGACUAUAUUCGAUCCUGUAGCUUACUCGCUUAUGUAAUUUUACCUACGCUUAGGAUGUUGACUGAUAUGUAGUCGUA
This 773-nucleotide ribosomal RNA is filed under the name uncultured Neocallimastigales. RNAcentral describes it as "partial large subunit ribosomal RNA". It matches the Rfam family "Eukaryotic large subunit ribosomal RNA", at positions 24 to 644 of the family's 3401-position model. Lineage: Eukaryota; Fungi; Neocallimastigomycota; Neocallimastigomycetes; Neocallimastigales. The record is from RNAcentral.